AUCUCUGUAGAGUCUGCAUAUCAAUAAGCGGAGGAAAAGAAACUAACUAAGGAUUCCCUCAGUAACGGCGAGUGAAGCGGGAAGAGCUCAAAUUUGAAAUCUUCAAGGUUUUACCUUGACGAAUUGUAGUUUAAAGAAGUGUUUUCUGUUGAAGUUUCGGUAAAAGUUCUUUGGAAUAGGACAUCAUAGAGGGUGAGAAUCCCGUAUUUGACCGUUACUUUUCCAGCUGUGUGAUACACUUUCAAAGAGUCGGAUUGUUUGGGAAUGCAGUCCAAAAUGGGUGGUAAAUUUCAUCUAAAGCUAAAUAUUGGCGAGAGACCGAUAGCGAACAAGUACCGUGAGGAAAGAUGAAAAGAACUUUGAAAAGAGAGUUAAACAGUACGUGAAAUUGUCAAAAGGGAAGCGUUUGACACCAGUGUUGUUUUCUCGAAAAUCAAUUAAAAAUGGCCUGGAUUUUGUGUUGUAUUGACUUUAUCAGCUUUCUGCACUCUUUUCUUGUCUUUUUUAAUGCACUUUUCGUUUAACAAGUCAACAUCAAUUUCUUUUGUUGUAAAAGAGGUCAUUGGAAGGUGGCUUUCACUUCGGUGAAAGUGUUUAUAGCCUUUGACUUCUGCAAUCGGAGAGAUUGAGGUCUGCAGCGUAGAUCCUUCGGGGUUAGAUACAUUUGUGCUAAGUUAUAGUUUUUCAUAGACAACAUGUUGACUAUGAUUAAUCAUGUAGCUUACUCGCUUAUGCUAUUUUACCUACGCUUAGGAUGUUGAACGCGCACAGAGUCUC
RNAcentral lists this ribosomal RNA (777 nucleotides) under uncultured Neocallimastigales. RNAcentral's name for it is "partial large subunit ribosomal RNA". It matches the Rfam family "Eukaryotic large subunit ribosomal RNA", at positions 24 to 608 of the family's 3401-position model. Lineage: Eukaryota; Fungi; Neocallimastigomycota; Neocallimastigomycetes; Neocallimastigales. The record is from RNAcentral.